RNAcentral lists this ribosomal RNA (491 nucleotides) under uncultured bacterium. RNAcentral describes it as "bacterial SSU rRNA". It matches the Rfam family "Bacterial small subunit ribosomal RNA", at positions 32 to 531 of the family's 1533-position model. The record is from RNAcentral.
AAUCAACGCUGGCGGCGUGCCUCAGACAUGCAAGUCGAACGAUUAAAGCUCUCUUCGGAGAGUGUAUAGAGUGGCGCACGGGUGAGUAACACGUAAGUAAUCUACCCUCGAGUGGGGAAUAACAACCGGAAACGGUUGCUAAUACCGCAUAAUGCAGCGGCACCGCAAGGUGACAGUUGUUAAAGAUUUAUCGCUUGAGGAGGAGCUUGCGGCAGAUUGGCUAGUUGGUAGGGUAACGGCUUACCAAGGCUACGAUCUGUAACCGGUCUAAGAGGACGGUCGGUCACACUGACACUGAAUAACGGGUCAGACUCCUACGGGAGGCAGCAGUCGGGAAUUUUGGGCAAUGGGCGAAAGCCUGACCCAGCAACGCCGCGUGAAGGAUGAAGUAUUUCGGUAUGUAAACUUCGAAAGAAUAGGAAGAAUUAAUGACGGUACUAUUUAUAAGGUCCGGCUAACUACGUGCCAGCAGCGCGGUAAUGUAUCGUACG